CGGCAGGCCUAACACAUGCAAGUCGAACGGUAACAGGAAGAAGCUUGCUUCUUUGCUGACGAGUGGCGGACGGGUGAGUAAUGUCUGGGAAACUGCCUGAUGGAGGGGGAUAACUACUGGAAACGGUAGCUAAUACCGCAUAACGUCGCAAGACCAAAGAGGGGGACCUUCGGGCCUCUUGCCAUCGGAUGUGCCCAGAUGGGAUUAGCUAGUAGGUGGGGUGACGGCUCACCUAGGCGACGAUCCCUAGCUGGUCUGAGAGGAUGACCAGCCACACUGGAACUGAGACACGGUCCAGACUCCUACGGGAGGCAGCAGUGGGGAAUAUUGCACAAUGGGCGCAAGCCUGAUGCAGCCAUGCCGCGUGUAUGAAGAAGGCCUUCGGGUUGUAAAGUACUUUCAGCGGGGAGGAAGGGAGUAAAGUUAAUACCUUUGCUCAUUGACGUUACCCGCAGAAGAAGCACCGGCUAACUCCGUGCCAGCAGCCGCGGCAAUACGGAGGGUGCAAGCGUUAAUCGGAAUUACUGGGCGUAAAGCGCACGCAGGCGGUUUGUUAAGUCAGAUGUGAAAUCCCCGGGCUCAACCUGGGAACUGCAUCUGAUACUGGCAAGCUUGAGUCUCGUAGAGGGGGGUAGAAUUCCAGGUGUAGCGGUGAAAUGCGUAGAGAUCUGGAGGAAUACCGGUGGCGAAGGCGGCCCCCUGGACGAAGACUGACGCU
This 718-nucleotide ribosomal RNA is filed under the name uncultured Pseudomonadota bacterium. RNAcentral describes it as "bacterial SSU rRNA". It matches the Rfam family "Bacterial small subunit ribosomal RNA", at positions 40 to 747 of the family's 1533-position model. The record is from RNAcentral. Lineage: Bacteria; Pseudomonadati; Pseudomonadota.